AGCGUUAAUCGGAAUUACUGGGCGUAAAGCGCACGCAGGCGGUCUGUCAAGUCGGAUGUGAAAUCCCCGGGCUCAACCUGGGAACUGCAUUCGAAACUGGCAGGCUUGAGUCUUGUAGAGGGGGGGAGAAUUCCAGGUGUAGCGGUGAAAUGCGUAGAGAUCUGGAGGAAUACCGGUGGCGAAGGCGGCCCCCUGGACAAAGACUGACGCUCAGGUGCGAAAGCGUGGGGAGCAAACAGGAUUAGAUACCCUGGUAGUCCACGCCGUAAACGAUGUCUACUUGGAGGUUGUGCCCUUGAGGCGUGGCUUCCGGAGCUAACGCGUUAAGUAGACCGCCUGGGGAGUACGGCCGCAAGGUUAAAACUCAAAUGAAUUGACGGGGGCCCGCACAAGCGGUGGAGCAUGUGGUUUAAUUCGAUGCAACGCGAAGAACCUUACCUGGUCUUGACAUCCACAGAACUUUCCAGAGAUGGAUUGGUGCCUUCGGGAACUGUGAGACAGGUGCUGCAUGGCUGUCGUCAGCUCGUGUUGUGAAAUGUUGGGUUAAGUCCCGCAACGAGCGCAACCCUUAUCCUUUGUUGCCAGCGGUCCGGCCGGGAACUCAAAGGAGACUGCCAGUGAUAAACUGGAGGAAGGUGGGGAUGACGUCAAGUCAUCAUGGCCCUUACGACCAGGGCUACACACGUGCUACAAUGGCGCAUACAAAGAGAAGCGACCUCGCGAGAGUAAGCGGACCUCAUAAAGUGCGUCGUAGUCCGGAUUGGAGUCUGCAACUCGACUCCAUGAAGUCGGAAUCGCUAGUAAUCGUGGAUCAGAAUGCCACGGUGAAUACGUUCCCGGGCCUUGUACACACCGCCCGUCACACCAUGGGAGUGGGUUGCAAAAGAAGUAGGUAGCUUAACCUUCGGGGGGGCGCUUACCACUUUGUGAUUCAUGACUGGGGUGAAGUCGUAACAAGGUAACCGUAGGGGAACCUGCGGUUG
This 983-nucleotide ribosomal RNA is filed under the name Salmonella enterica subsp. enterica serovar Typhi. Its description in RNAcentral is "bacterial SSU rRNA". It matches the Rfam family "Bacterial small subunit ribosomal RNA", at positions 537 to 1520 of the family's 1533-position model. The record is from RNAcentral. Lineage: Bacteria; Pseudomonadati; Pseudomonadota; Gammaproteobacteria; Enterobacterales; Enterobacteriaceae.